GGCUGGUUAGCUCAGUUGGUUAGAGCGUGGUGCUGGUAACACCAAGGUCUAGGGUUCAAGCCCUCUAGCAGCCA
This is a non-coding RNA of Galeopterus variegatus (Sunda flying lemur), 74 nucleotides long. Lineage: Eukaryota; Metazoa; Chordata; Mammalia; Dermoptera; Cynocephalidae. The record is from the annotation of a RefSeq genome assembly.